Molecule: antisense RNA, 69 nt
Filed under: Micromonospora sp. ATCC 39149
Lineage: Bacteria; Bacillati; Actinomycetota; Actinomycetes; Micromonosporales; Micromonosporaceae
Description: ASpks TB sRNA
Rfam family: ASpks TB sRNA
Source: Rfam by way of RNAcentral
CUUCAACGACCCCAACCACAACGGACGCUCCCGACCCUGCCCAUACGUGGCCAACAACGCCUGCACCUC